Molecule: ribosomal RNA, 529 nt
Filed under: uncultured bacterium
Lineage: Bacteria
Description: bacterial SSU rRNA
Rfam family: Bacterial small subunit ribosomal RNA
Source: RNAcentral
GACGAACGCUGGCGGCGUGGAUUAGGCAUGCAAGUCGAACGGUAUGGACCUUUCGGGGUUCAGAGAGUGGCGAACGGGUGAGUAACACGUAGGUAAUCUACCCUCAAGACGGGGACAACCCAGGGAAACUUGGGCUAAUACCGGAUGUGUGUAGUGGCUAUUUUUCUGAUUAUCAUUAUUUACGUAAGUGAGUAAUAAUAAGAAGGGAAAGUGGUUAUUACAUAAAAGGUGGCGUAAGCUGCCGCUUGGGGAUGAGCCUGCGUCCUAUUAGUUAGUUGGUGAGGUAACGGCUUACCAAGGCGAUGAUAGGUAGGCGGCCUUAACGGGUGGUCGCCCACACUGGGAUUGAGAUACGGCCCAGACUCCUACGGGAGGCAGCAGUCGAGAAUAGUCUACAAUGGACGGAAGUCUGAUAGUGCGACGCCGCGUGAACGAAGAAUCCCUUCGGGGUGUAAAGUUCUUUAUACGUGAGCAGUGUCCUUUAUAUUAAUAGUAUAAGGGGAAGAUAUAGCGUAUGAAUAAGCAACGG